CGGAGUCUCAGCUGUACAAGCAGCUCUGCUUCUACGACUACAUCUUCGACUUCCAAAAGGCGUGCGUCAUGAAUAAAGAUGACCACAUUCGCAACGACAGCUUGAGGAAAGCGUACAUGGUGCUACGUAACGAGGUUCUCAGAGUCCUCAGCCUGAGCGCCUACUCUCAAGUGGACCUCGACGGCCUCUUUGCUAACCUCUUCAUGAAGACCAGCAAGUGAAAUAUCAAAUUUAUUGAUCAAUUACAUCGAAUUUAUGGAUGAAUUGCGGCAAAUUUAUGGAUGAAUUGCAUAAAAUUUAUGGAUGAAUGGUGGCGAAUUUAUGGAUGAAUUGCGGCGAAUUUAUGGAUGAAUUGCGUUAAAUUUAUUUGGAAUUGCGUAAAAUUUAUGGAUAAAUUAUGUCAAUUCUUCGUAUGAAUUACGUCAAAUCUUUGGAUGAAUUGCGGCAAAUUUAUGAAUGAAUGACAGCGAAUUUAUGGAUGAAUUGUGACGAGUUUAUGGUUGAAUUACGUCAAAUUUAUUGAUAAAUGGCGGCAAAUUUAUGGAUGAAUUGUGGCAAAUUUAUGGAUGAAUUGCGGCAAAUUUAUGGAUGAAUGGCGGCAAAUCUAUGGAUGAAUUACAUCAAUUUACGGAUCAAUUACAUCAAAUUUAUGGAUGAAAUGCGUCAAAUUGAUGGAUGAAUUGCGUAAAAUUGAUGGAUGAACUACAUCAAUUUAUGGAUGAAAAAUAUCAGUUUGUGGAUGAUUUACACGAAGUUUAUAUAGAAUGUGUUGAUGUAGAGCUUGACUUGCUGACCAAUUCUCAAGAAUGUUAUUGCUGAUUCUUGGGCUUAAUUAACGUAAACAAAUAAAGAGCAAUUACCUCUACUAUUUGCUGCUGCCAAUUAAAGUGAAAUUGUAUUUGAUUAUUCAGUUUGAUUGGAAGCAUAAUUUCAAGUUACAGUUGAAUAUUGAAUGAUAUUUGGUAUGAAUAUUAUAGAAAACCUUUUCAUACUCGCACAAAAUAUGUGAAUGUUAUAAAGUGUAUGCGAGUUGGCGGGGGGGUAUUUUUCUGGACAAUUUAGUGACUUGUUCAAUGGACGAAAUGGAGGAAUAUCCUUCUUGUUUGCUGUACAUAAUAACAUAGCAUAAAGUUAUUCUCCGUGAUUUGAAUGAACCGCAUGGAAAUUAACGGUUAGAAAAACUAAUGUGAAUAUGAAUUAUCCCGUGUAUUCAAAUGGGGGUAUUGUGGGUAAAUACAUGUGAAUAAAUAAAUCUGUAGCAAUAAUUCCUAGAUUUUAUUGCCACAUUUUUCAAUAUGUUACUUAAUAAUUGAUUUGUAAUUGGUUUGGUUUGAUAUGAUCGGUUUGAGGGCUGGGUAGAUUUAGUUGACUGCGUUGCCACUGUCGUGGUGAAAUGUACGUAGAUAUUUAGUGACUUUUAUCCCUAGUUUUUGAGUUGUGUUUCUUGAUUUGACUUUAAAUACCUGAAUUGAACUAUACUUCUUCCACAUUGACCUGUGCAACAUGACGUUGUAAAUACUUUAGUUGAACUAAGUUCUUCAACAUCCUCCCGGUGUUCAAAUUCUUUUGUUACUGAGUAUGUCUUUUAAAUACACUUUACAUAGUCUU
Molecule: long non-coding RNA, 1608 nt
Organism: Hyalella azteca
Lineage: Eukaryota; Metazoa; Arthropoda; Malacostraca; Amphipoda; Hyalellidae
Exons: 2
Source: RefSeq, a predicted model, not a curated record